RNAcentral lists this long non-coding RNA (826 nucleotides) under Cricetulus griseus (Chinese hamster). RNAcentral describes it as "lncRNA (ENSCGRG00015032839.1)". The record is from RNAcentral. Lineage: Eukaryota; Metazoa; Chordata; Mammalia; Rodentia; Cricetidae.
AUUAAGAACUAUAAAAGGGACUUUGACAAAAUUUUUAUGUUAACUAAAAAAUAAGAAAAAAAAUGUAAAAGACUUAAAUAAUAAAGAAAAAAAAUUGUCUAAAAAUGUCUAAGAAAGUCAGAGAAAUAAAAUAAAAGGUCAGAGAAAAGUUAGAGGUCAGAGAAAAAGAUUGUUACAAAAAGUUAUAGAGGGUUAAAGUUGUAAAAGGUCAGAGGAAAGUUGUCAAAGGUCAGGGAAAAGGUUGUUACAAGUGAAAAAAAAUGUAAACUGUGCUAUGGUUUCUCAUGUCUAAAAUUUUAAUCAUAUUAAGCUGAUUUUGUUUUUUAAAAAAAAGUCCUGUUUAUUUCUCAAGUAAAUUAUGUAUACUUGUUUUAAAAUUGUUCUAUUUCCUGGUAUAAGCUUAAGCAUGUUAAGCAAAGCAAGUUACGGCCAUUUUGUAACUGGUCACAUGACUUGACUGGUCGCCAUUUUGCUAAAGUUAAAAAAUACUUAAACCGCCAUCUUGACUAAAGGUGACCACAUGAAAAUUAGAGUUUAUAAUGUCAGACAGACUGCCAGAUCCUGACAGUGACCCAAAGUCUCCAAAGAAGAUUACGAGGCACCUCAGUUCCUACACCUGGACCAGUGAGCGAGAUGCUCAGAUGUGAUACCUGCCGCCUGCCAGAACCUGGCCGAGACUGUGGACAAAGCUGCUGGACACUGGAAAAUUGAUUGCACCCCUUUGCCUAGACAAAACAAGACAUCUGAAUAUCAGUUGCUGACUACAGACUGUUCUAAGACUGCGAGCCCUGGACUUGCUGUGGAUGUGAACCAGUUCAGCUGAUAU